RNAcentral lists this ribosomal RNA (253 nucleotides) under uncultured bacterium. RNAcentral's name for it is "partial 16S ribosomal RNA". It matches the Rfam family "Bacterial small subunit ribosomal RNA", at positions 524 to 776 of the family's 1533-position model. The record is from RNAcentral.
AACGUAGGAGACAAACGUUAUCCGGAGUUACUGGGCGUAAAGGGCGCGUAGGCGGCCCACUAAGUCAGACGUGAAAUCCCCCGGCUUAACCUGGGAACUGCGUCUGAUACUGGAGGGCUUGAGUAUGGGAGAGGGAUGUAGAAUUCCAGGUGUAGCGGUGAAAUGCGUAGAUAUCUGGAGGAAUACCGGUGGCGAAGGCGGCAUCCUGGACCAUUACUGACGCUGAUGCGCGAAAGCUAGGGGAGCAAACGGG